This is a non-coding RNA of Prunus mume (Japanese apricot), 898 nucleotides long. The record is from RefSeq and is a predicted model, not a curated record. Lineage: Eukaryota; Viridiplantae; Streptophyta; Magnoliopsida; Rosales; Rosaceae.
ACUGGGCGUGUCCAUGCCAUGUCUGUUGUAUAUAUGCAGAUGGACUUUUGUUGUUACUUUGGUUUGAUUUGUAGGUUUUCAAAGAGGUCAUCAGUCAAAGGAGGAACUGGUGUGCAACAUAUUGUGCAGAUUUUAAUUUCUCUCUUUUCCAUGCAUGGAGAGAUACUGGAAUCAACACUCAGUAUGCUGUAUGCUGCCUAACCUUUUGUAUACUGCAUAGUGCAACCAAUAUGGUGUUUUUGUGGUGCAGGUUUUCAGCUAUAUAUAUGGUCAUGGACUCUUGCAUGGUUGCAUAUGAUCACACAGAACAGAGGCCUCUGUUCCUAAAGUUACAGGAUAAAAUUUCACCUACAUUAGCGAGUCUUAUUGGAUAGCAUGUCAUUUACUUAUGCUUAUUGCAAUGUUCAGAGUUGAGAUUGAAAAAGAAACGCAUGCACGCAAUGUGCCUGUGGUCUACAACUUAUUGUUUUGGACAAAAUGUUUAAUGAGGAAAAAUGCUUUAAAUCAACUUCUAGAGAUGCAGAAGCACUUUUCGUAGCUAUUCAAGCCCUGCAUCUAAUGAUAAGAGUCAUUUUUGUUAGAUCUAUGGAUGCAUUUAUCGAGUUUUUUGUUACUCUAGUAUGUCUCUACUUAGGGUUUAGAUCUAUGGAUGGAUGCAUUUGUCAGUAAAGACUGGAGUAGAAAAUCAGUAGGUAUUGCUUAAAAGCAUCCGAGAUGAGUUACAUGAAAGCGAUACCUACCUAUUCUUAUAAUACCACAAGGAAUUUCGGAAAGAAAUGCUAGGAAAUUGUGCUCCCUAUUUUCGAAUGGUGAAGCCCUCAGCAACAUCUUGUCAAGUUUUAAUUCCUUACAUGUGUUAAAUUUAUACAAGGCUGAAAUUGAGGAUUUUCCAAGUUCA